Molecule: signal recognition particle RNA, 285 nt
Filed under: Solanum tuberosum (potato)
Lineage: Eukaryota; Viridiplantae; Streptophyta; Magnoliopsida; Solanales; Solanaceae
Description: SRP RNA Plant_SRP
Rfam family: Plant signal recognition particle RNA
Source: Rfam by way of RNAcentral
GUGAAUACAUAUAAUGAUACAACAAUGUGGUGGAAUGUUAGGUCGUUCCAGAUGGCUGGGCUUUGGUUGGCUUUAGUCUGGCCUGCCCUAUCCAAGAACGGAGGCGAGUCACGUGGUCCAGAUGAAAGUGUGUACUGCUUUGGCUCUUAGAGCGGGGUGGACAGCAUGAGGCUGGUUUCACAAAGCAACUAACAGCUCCCGCUUUGUGCAGUGGAAGGAUAACGAGCCGGUGCUCUCCAAGUCCAACAAAAACCUGAAGGGUUGCUUAAUUGAACCAUCACUUUU